UAUGAUUCAUGUCUCCGUGGAAACAUCAAUGUAAAUUCACCUUUGAUUUUUACUCCUCACUUCCCCUUUCAGGUCCAUAGGGUUUUACUGCCCCUGGUGGAGACUGUAGCACACUGCAGUCCCUUUCAGGUCCACAGGGUUUUACUGCCCCCUGCUGGAGACUGGAGCACACUGCAGUCCCUUUCAGGUCCAUAGGGUUUUACUGCCCCCUGGUGGAGACUGGAGCACACUGCAGUCCCUUUCAGGUCCAUAGGGUUUUACUGCCCCCUGCUGGAGACUGGAGCACACUGCAGUCUCUGGCUUUCUUUGUGCAGCUUGAUGAUGAGGCCCUCAUCAAUACAGAUACUGUAUGUAGAACCAUAGUAAAGACCAGUAUGGACUAUCAAUACAGAUACUGUAUGUAGAACCAUAGUAAAGACCAGUAUGGACUAUCAAUACAAAGUGACCAUUUAGAAUGAGGCCCAGUUCAAUGAGAGGAAGUCUUAACAGAACUGGGGGAUGACAGACAGGAAGUGGGGGGUGGAGAUCUAAUAUAUUUUUGUGCCAAACACUAAAGCAUGAUAUUGUAAUAAAUCUACACCCUAUUCCCUACGUAGAACACUACUUUAGACCUGGUCAGAAGCACCGUAGUGCACUACAUAGGGAAUAGGGAACCAUUUGGAACAGAGACAGUAAUUCCCUGAACAUCUUCCUCUUCCUCAUCUGGUUUCUUGAACAGCCCUUCACUCCUCCCCUCUUCCUC
Oncorhynchus tshawytscha (Chinook salmon) is the source of this 742-nucleotide long non-coding RNA. The record is from Ensembl. NCBI's taxonomy places the organism in Eukaryota, Metazoa, Chordata, Actinopteri, Salmoniformes, Salmonidae.